GACGAACGCUGGCGGCGUGCCUAAUACAUGCAAGUAGAACGCUGAAGAGAGGAGCUUGCUCCUAGCGGAUGAGUUGCGAACGGGUGAGUAACGCGUAGGUAACCUGCCUGGUAGCGGGGGAUAACUAUUGGAAACGAUAGCUAAUACCGCAUAAAAUGGAUUAUCGCAUGAUAAUCCAUUGAAAGGUGCAAAUGCAUCACUACCAGAUGGACCUGCGUUGUAUUAGCUAGUUGGUGGGGUAACGGCUCACCAAGGCGACGAUACAUAGCCGACCUGAGAGGGUGAUCGGCCACACUGGGACUGAGACACGGCCCAGACUCCUACGGGAGGCAGCAGUAGGGAAUCUUCGGCAAUGGACGGAAGUCUGACCGAGCAACGCCGCGUGAGUGAAGAAGGUUUUCGGAUCGUAAAGCUCUGUUGUAAGAGAAGAACGAGUGUGAGAGUGGAAAGUUCAC
Molecule: ribosomal RNA, 455 nt
Filed under: Streptococcus sp. oral taxon 071
Lineage: Bacteria; Bacillati; Bacillota; Bacilli; Lactobacillales; Streptococcaceae
Description: bacterial SSU rRNA
Rfam family: Bacterial small subunit ribosomal RNA
Source: RNAcentral